Molecule: ribosomal RNA, 322 nt
Filed under: uncultured eukaryote
Lineage: Eukaryota
Description: partial 18S ribosomal RNA
Rfam family: Eukaryotic small subunit ribosomal RNA
Source: RNAcentral
CCCUUAGAUGUUCUGGGCUGCACACGCGCUACACUGAAGGGAUCAGCGUGUUCUUUUCCUGGUCCGAAAGGAUCGGGUAACCCGCUGAACCCCCUUCGUGGUAGGGAUCGGAGCUUGCAAUUAUUCUCCGUGAACCAGGAAUUCCCAGUAAGCGCAAGUCAUAAGCUUGCGUUGAUUACGUCCCUGCCCUUUGUACACACCGCCCGUCGCUACUACCGAUUGAAUGGUCCGGUGAAAUCUCGGGACGGCGGCUUGGUCGCUUGCGUCCGACUGCUGAAACUUGAUUAAACCAUAUCAUUUAGAGGAAGGUGAAGUCGUAACA